This 45-nucleotide non-coding RNA is filed under the name Echinostoma caproni. Lineage: Eukaryota; Metazoa; Platyhelminthes; Trematoda; Plagiorchiida; Echinostomatidae. The record is from RNAcentral.
ACACUGCUGACGAGUCCCAAACAGGAAGAAACAGUUGUCCAGUGC